UGCUUGCACCUUUCAAGUGAGUGGCGAACGGGUGAGUAACACGUGGACAACCUGCCUCAAGGCUGGGGAUAACAUUUGGAAACAGAUGCUAAUACCGAAUAAAACUUAGUGUCGCAUGACACAAAGUUAAAAGGCGCUUCGGCGUCACCUAGAGAUGGAUCCGCGGUGCAUUAGUUAGUUGGUGGGGUAAAGGCCUACCAAGACAAUGAUGCAUAGCCGAGUUGAGAGACUGAUCGGCCACAUUGGGACUGAGACACGGCCCAAACUCC
Molecule: ribosomal RNA, 269 nt
Filed under: uncultured Leuconostoc sp.
Lineage: Bacteria; Bacillati; Bacillota; Bacilli; Lactobacillales; Lactobacillaceae
Description: partial 16S ribosomal RNA
Rfam family: Bacterial small subunit ribosomal RNA
Source: RNAcentral